UACGGAAGGCAGCAGUGGGGAAUAUUGCACAAUGGGCGCAAGCCUGAUGCAGCCAUGCCGCGUGUAUGAAAAAGGCCUUCGGGUUGUAAAGUACUUUCAGUCGUGAGGAAGGUGUUAAGGUUAAUAACCUUAGCAAUUGACGUUAGCGACAGAAGAAGCACCGGCUAACUCCGUGCCAGCAGCCGCGGUAAUACGGAGGGUGCGAGCGUUAAUCGGAAUUACUGGGCGUAAAGGGCACGCAGGCGGUUAAUUAAGUUGGAUGUGAAAUCCCCGGGCUUAACCUGGGAAUGGCAUUCAAGACUGGUUAGCUAGAGUCUUGUAGAGGGGGUAGAAUUCCAUGUGUAGCGGUGAAAUGCGUGAGAUGUGGAGGAAUACCGGUGGCGAAGGCGGCCCCUGGACAAAGGACUGACGCUCAUGUGCGAAAGCGUGGGGAGCGAAAC
This 440-nucleotide ribosomal RNA is filed under the name uncultured bacterium. Its description in RNAcentral is "bacterial SSU rRNA". It matches the Rfam family "Bacterial small subunit ribosomal RNA", at positions 340 to 774 of the family's 1533-position model. The record is from RNAcentral.